RNAcentral lists this ribosomal RNA (912 nucleotides) under Salinivibrio sp. ML279. RNAcentral's name for it is "bacterial SSU rRNA". It matches the Rfam family "Bacterial small subunit ribosomal RNA", at positions 542 to 1461 of the family's 1533-position model. The record is from RNAcentral. Lineage: Bacteria; Pseudomonadati; Pseudomonadota; Gammaproteobacteria; Vibrionales; Vibrionaceae.
GUAUCGGAUACUGGGCGUAAGCGCAUGCAGGCGGUUUGUUAAGUCAGAUGUGAAAGCCCGGGGCCUUUAACGGAACCGCAUUUGAAACUGGCAGGCUAGAGUCUUGUAGAGGGGGGUAGAAUUUCAGGUGUAGCGGUGAAAUGCGUAGAGAUCUGAAGGAAUACCAGUGGCGAAGGCGGCCCCCUGGACAAAGACUGACGCUCAGAUGCGAAAGCGUGGGUAGCAAACAGGAUUAGAUACCCUGGUAGUCCACGCCGUAAACGCUGUCUACUUGGAGGUUGAGGUUUAGACUUUGGCUUUCGGCGCUAACGCAUUAAGUAGACCGCCUGGGGAGUACGGCCGCAAGGUUAAAACUCAAAUGAAUUGACGGGGGCCCGCACAAGCGGUGGAGCAUGUGGUUUAAUUCGAUGCAACGCGAAGAACCUUACCUACUCUUGACAUCCAGAGAACUCUCCAGAGAUGGAUUGGUGCCUUCGGGAGCUCUGAGACAGGUGCUGCAUGGCUGUCGUCAGCUCGUGUUGUGAAAUGUUGGGUUAAGUCCCGCAACGAGCGCAACCCUUAUCCUUGUUUGCCAGCACGUAAUGGUGGGAACUCCAGGGAGACUGCCGGUGAUAAACCGGAGGAAGGUGGGGACGACGUCAAGUCAUCAUGGCCCUUACGAGUAGGGCUACACACGUGCUACAAUGGCAGAUACAGAGGGCAGCGAAGCUGCGAAGUGGAGCGAAUCCCUUAAAGUCUGUCGUAGUCCGGAUUGGAGUCUGCAACUCGACUCCAUGAAGUCGGAAUCGCUAGUAAUCGUGGAUCAGAAUGCCACGGUGAAUACGUUCCCGGGCCUUGUACACACCGCCCAUCACACCAUGGGAGUGGGCUGCACCAGAAGUAGAUAGCUUAACCUCGGAGGGCGUUACCACG